GUGAGGUGCAAACGUUACCGGAAUCAUUGGGCGUAAAGCGUCCGCAGGCGGCUAAUUAAGGUAAGAUGUUAAAAUCUUGAGGGCUCAACUUCAAGUCUGUAUCUUAAACUGGUUAGCUAGAGAAUUGGAGAGGCGAGUGGAAUUCUGUAUGUAGGGGUAAAAUCCGUAGAUAUACAGAGGAACACCAAAAAGCGAAGGCAGCUCGCUGGCCAAUUUCUGACGCUCAUGGACGAAAGCGUGGGGAGCAAACGGGAUUAGAUACCCCGGUAGUCCACGCCGUAAACGAUGAUCACUCGAUGUUGGGAGUUCGACCCUCUCAGUGUCCAAGCUACGCGAUAAGUGAUCCGCCUGGGGAGUACGGUCGCAAAGAUUAA
Molecule: ribosomal RNA, 374 nt
Filed under: uncultured organism
Description: partial 16S ribosomal RNA
Rfam family: Bacterial small subunit ribosomal RNA
Source: RNAcentral